This 218-nucleotide unclassified non-coding RNA is filed under the name Hevea brasiliensis (rubber tree). Lineage: Eukaryota; Viridiplantae; Streptophyta; Magnoliopsida; Malpighiales; Euphorbiaceae. The record is from RNAcentral.
GUCCUUCUAUCCUUUUAGAUUGUUAGCACAUUAAUGGAGUGUGAUGACGAUUUUAAGAUUCAAUAUACUUGUUAGAUAUGGAAUCUCCUUUCUUUUUCACUUAAAAGAACUCAAUAUGAAGAGCUUUGUUAAUUAACUUUGUCUAAUAUUUUUCACCUAACUAAGAUCUUGAUUAUUGACUUUUUGAGAUUAAAUGUGUUAUUUAAGUGAAAAAGAAA